Molecule: ribosomal RNA, 306 nt
Filed under: uncultured bacterium
Lineage: Bacteria
Description: bacterial SSU rRNA
Rfam family: Bacterial small subunit ribosomal RNA
Source: RNAcentral
GACGAACGCUAGCGGCAGGCCUAAUACAUGCAAGUCGAACGGUAAGGUCCCUUCGGGGAUACACGAGUGGCGGACGGGUGCGUAACGCGUAUACAACCUACCCUUGAGAGGGGGAUAAUCUGAAGAAAUUCAUUUGUAAUACCCCAUGGUUACUAAAUAGGGCCUCCUAUUAAGUAUAAAGCUCCGGCGCUCAGGGAUGGGUAUGCGUGACAUUAGUUAGAUGGUGAGGUAACGGCUCACCAUGACAAUGAUGUCUAGCUGGUCUGAGAGGAUGAUCAGCCACACGGGCACUGAGACACGGGCCCG